This 251-nucleotide ribosomal RNA is filed under the name uncultured bacterium. Its description in RNAcentral is "partial 16S ribosomal RNA". It matches the Rfam family "Bacterial small subunit ribosomal RNA", at positions 524 to 776 of the family's 1533-position model. The record is from RNAcentral.
UACGAAGGGGGCUAGCGUUGCUCGGAAUCACUGGGCGUAAAGGGUGCGUAGGCGGGUCUUUAAGUCAGGGGUGAAAUCCUGGAGCUCAACUCCAGAACUGCCUUUGAUACUGAGGAUCUUGAGUUCGGGAGAGGUGAGUGGAACUGCGAGUGUAGAGGUGAAAUUCGUAGAUAUUCGCAAGAACACCAGUGGCGAAGGCGGCUCACUGGCCCGAUACUGACGCUGAGGCACGAAAGCGUGGGAGCAACAGG